GAUGAACGCUAGCGGCAGGCCUAACACAUGCAAGUCGAGGGAGAAGCCCUUUCGGGGGCAGAAACCGGCGCACGGGUGCGUAACGCGUAUGCAACCUACCUUUCACAGGGGGAUAGCCCGAAGAAAUUUGGAUUAAUACCCCAUAAUAUUAUUGGAUGGCAUCAUUUGAUAAUUAAAACUGCGGUGGUGAAAGAUGGGCAUGCGUCCUAUUAGUUAGUUGGAGUGGUAACGGCACCCCAAGGCUACGAUAGGUAGGGGUCCUGAGAGGGAGAUCCCCCACACUGGUACUGAGACAGGGACCAGACUCCUACGGGAGGCAGCAGUGAGGAAUAUUGGUCAAUGGUCGGAAGACUGAACCAGCCAUGCCGCGUGCAGGAAGAAUGCCUUAUGGGUUGUAAACUGCUUUUAUAUGGGAAGAAUAAGGCGUACGUGUACGUUGAUGACGGUACCAUAUGAAUAAGCAUCGGCUAACUCCGUG
This 478-nucleotide ribosomal RNA is filed under the name uncultured bacterium. RNAcentral's name for it is "partial 16S ribosomal RNA". It matches the Rfam family "Bacterial small subunit ribosomal RNA", at positions 28 to 507 of the family's 1533-position model. The record is from RNAcentral.